ACCAUUUUUUUGUUCACAAGCACAAUGCUUGAAUUUUCAUGCUCAUGUGAGAUAUAUCUCCUUUGAACCUUGUUACACCAGCAAGUUACCUGUCUGAUG
Molecule: small nucleolar RNA, 99 nt
Organism: Callithrix jacchus (white-tufted-ear marmoset)
Lineage: Eukaryota; Metazoa; Chordata; Mammalia; Primates; Cebidae
Source: Ensembl